RNAcentral lists this ribosomal RNA (552 nucleotides) under Bifidobacterium longum subsp. infantis. RNAcentral describes it as "bacterial SSU rRNA". It matches the Rfam family "Bacterial small subunit ribosomal RNA", at positions 146 to 711 of the family's 1533-position model. Lineage: Bacteria; Bacillati; Actinomycetota; Actinomycetes; Bifidobacteriales; Bifidobacteriaceae. The record is from RNAcentral.
UCUCCUGGAAACGGGUGGUAAUGCCGGAUGCUCCAGUUGAUCGCAUGGUCUUCUGGGAAAGCUUUCGCGGUAUGGGAUGGGGUCGCGUCCUAUCAGCUUGACGGCGGGGUAACGGCCCACCGUGGCUUCGACGGGUAGCCGGCCUGAGAGGGCGACCGGCCACAUUGGGACUGAGAUACGGCCCAGACUCCUACGGGAGGCAGCAGUGGGGAAUAUUGCACAAUGGGCGCAAGCCUGAUGCAGCGACGCCGCGUGAGGGAUGGAGGCCUUCGGGUUGUAAACCUCUUUUAUCGGGGAGCAAGCGAGAGUGAGUUUACCCGUUGAAUAAGCACCGGCUAACUACGUGCCAGCAGCCGCGGUAAUACGUAGGGUGCAAGCGUUAUCCGGAAUUAUUGGGCGUAAAGGGCUCGUAGGCGGUUCGUCGCGUCCGGUGUGAAAGUCCAUCGCUUAACGGUGGAUCCGCGCCGGGUACGGGCGGGCUUGAGUGCGGUAGGGGAGACUGGAAUUCCCGGUGUAACGGUGGAAUGUGUAGAUAUCGGAAAAGAAACACCA